Molecule: ribosomal RNA, 788 nt
Filed under: uncultured archaeon
Lineage: Archaea
Description: bacterial SSU rRNA
Rfam family: Archaeal small subunit ribosomal RNA
Source: RNAcentral
ACGGCUCAGUAACACGUAGUCAACAUGCCCAGGGGACGUGGAUAACCUCGGGAAACUGAGGAUAAACCGCGAUAGGCCAUAAUGUCUGGAAUGAUUUAUGGCUCAAAUCUACAUGGCCCCUGGAUUGGACUGCGGCCGAUCAGGCUGUUGGUGAGGUAAUGGCCCACCAAACCUAAAACCGGUACGGGCUCUGAGAGGAGAAGCCCGGAGAUGGGCACUGAGACAAGGGCCCAGGCCCUAUGGGGCGCAGCAGGCGCGAAAACUCUGCAAUAAGCGAAAGCUUGACAGGGCUAUUCUGAGUGAUUUCCGCUAAGGAAGUCUUUUGGCAUCUCUAAAAAUGGUGCAGAAUAAGGGGUGGGCAAGCCUGGUGUCAGCCGCCGCGGUAAUACCAGCACCCCGAGUGGUCGGGACGAUUAUUGGGCCUAAAGCAUCCGUAGCCGGUUCUACAAGUCUCCCGUUAAAUCCAUCUGCUUAACAGAUGGGCUGCGGAGGAUACUGUAGAGCUAGGAGGCGGGAGAGGCAAGCGGUACUUAGUGGGUAGGGGUAAAAUCCGUUGAUCCACUGAAGACCACCAGUGGCGAAGGCGGCUUGCCAGAACGCGCUCGACGGUGAGGGAUGAAAGCUGGGGGAGCAAACCGGAUUAGAUACCCGGGUAGUCCCAGCUGUAAACGAUGCAGACUCGGUGAUGAAAAGGCUUCGUGCCUUUUCAGUGCCGCAGGGAAGCCGUUAAGUCUGCCGCCUGGGGAGUACGGUCGCAAGACUGAAACUUAAAGGAAUUGGCGGGGGAG